GCUGAUAAUUACUUGGUAGAGACAUUACCAACUUGUCAAUGGACUUCUGAACAUUUUCAAGCUGCUCCUCUAAAUUGGCAAUGGUGCUACCUUGAGAAUGAAGCCGUGUUAUCUCUUCCUUAAGAUUAGCACCUACACUCUGCUUGUAGUUUGGCAAUGGUUUCUGCGGCAUCUUGGUUCCCCAGUCUGUGACAAGCCACCUCCUUUUGCAAUACUUCGAGGGCUCUAUUAGCUUCCUCCCCAAGCUGCUCCUGGAGAUGUUCCAGCUUACGAAUUUCAUGCAUAAGUGUGAAAGGAGCAGUAGAUGAUUGUCUCAUCAUUGACUGCCUUAAUAUCAUGCCACGGCCAAGGUCCUUGCUGUCAAGUCUCUGAGACAAUGCACCAGUAAAGGACAAACACUUCUUCACUGGAGGACGGGCAGAUUCAAUUGGGUUAGAACCCUGAAAACAAAAAUGGAUGUUAUUUCAUGAUCUCAAGGCACGUGAUAUAUUGUUAAGGAAAAAUUUAUUGUCAGUGAGUACAAGAAGAGAGGAGGGACAGGGAGAGAGACCUGCUGGUCCUCCUCAAGUUUUCUGCGGAGCUCAUCAACCUGGGAUUGGGCGAGGUCUCUUUCUCGUUUUAAUUCUUCAAUCUCCAUUUCCAUCUGGAUUUUAAUCAAACGCUAAGUUCUGGAAAAUUCACUCAACUUUAUGUAGAGAAAUUGUCAAAUUGAAUUGUAAAGUUACCUGUUGGAUUUUUAGAUCUUUCUCCCGUUUUGGAUCAGGAGUGCGCAGUUCUGCUUCUAGCCUGGCAACUUCCUUCUGUAAAUGUUUGACCAAUUGUUUGUCCGACACAACCUGUUUAAAAAUUUUCAAACAAAAAGUUAACGGAAA
This is a long non-coding RNA of Cucumis melo (muskmelon), 872 nucleotides long. RefSeq lists it as uncharacterized. The transcript has 2 exons. Lineage: Eukaryota; Viridiplantae; Streptophyta; Magnoliopsida; Cucurbitales; Cucurbitaceae. The record is from RefSeq and is a predicted model, not a curated record.